This 292-nucleotide ribosomal RNA is filed under the name uncultured prokaryote. RNAcentral describes it as "partial 16S ribosomal RNA". It matches the Rfam family "Bacterial small subunit ribosomal RNA", at positions 505 to 796 of the family's 1533-position model. The record is from RNAcentral.
GUGCCAGCAUCCGCGGUAAUACUGAGUGUUCACGCGUUAAUCGGAAUUACUGGGCGUAAGGCGCACGCAGGCGGUCUGUCAAGUCGGAUGUGAAAUCCCCGGGCUCAACCUGGGAACUGCAUUCGAAACUGGCAGGCUAGAGUCUUGUAGAGGGGGGUAGAAUUCCAGGUGUAGCGGUGAAAUGCGUAGAGAUCUGGAGGAAUACCGGUGGCGAAGGCGGCCCCCUGGACAAAGACUGACGCUCAGGUGCGAAAGCGUGGGGAGCAAACAGGAUUAGAAACCCCGGUAGUCC